GGGUUUUGGUUUAGUAUCUGUUCAACAAGUUUAGGAGAGAGAUGGAUGUAAGUGAGAAAGAUGAGUUGAGGAAUGGUAAUGAUACAACUGUGAACUAUGUUGAGUCUGCUAAUAAUCCACCUCCAGAUUGGAGAGUCUCUGGUUCUAAUCCGGUCUCUGAUUCAUAUCCUACAGAGAAUCUGAUCUCCUCUUCUCAGAUGAUGGAGACUCUUUGGUAUGAUCCAGCAAACGUUCAAGCUGUGGGUUAUGGUGGCUUCAACGGUGGUGGUAACCCCUCUUCUUCGUCUUCCUUUAGGGCUAAUAUCGAUAGAUCUCUUGAAACGGGUUGGAGUCUACCUAACUUGUUGCCUCCCAAAGGCGGCAACGGGAUGUUCUUGCCAAACGCUAGUAGCUUCCUGCCUCCGAGUAUGGCUCAGUUCCCGGCUGAUUCAGGAUUCAUAGAGCGUGCGGCGAGGUUUUCGCUCUUCAGCGGUGGGAGUUUUAGUGAUAUGAUGAAUCAGCAGCAGCCACUUGGGAAUCCGGAGUCGGUUGGUUUGUUUCUUCAAGGGCAGUGUCCAAGUAGUGAAGUGAAUGUUGUUGGUGUAGCUCACAAUGAUGCAUCUGCGGCAAUGAAAGAGACUAAUAAACAGAAUGUUCCUGGUUCGGGGAAUGUAUCAGAGGAUACUCAGUCUAGUGGUGGUAAUGGUCAGAAAGGUGGGGAGACUUCUUCCAAAGGCUUUGACUCAAAGAAGAGAAAAAGAAAUAAACAGGUAGAAGAUUUGAAGUUUUUUACUCUUUUUAUUUGGUUCUCUCUUUGACAUUUUGGUGAUGUAUCUGUUGUGUAGAAUGCUGAAGCAGAUCAGUCAAACAGAUCUCAGCAAUCUGAGGAAGAACCAGACAACAAUGGUGGUGGUGAUAAGAAGAGGAAUGAUGAGCAGAGUCCAAACUCACAGGGGAACAAAACAAACAGUGGGAAACAACAGGGGAAACAAGCUUCUGAUCCUAAAGAUGGAUAUAUUCAUGUGCGUGCGCGUAGAGGCCAGGCUACAAAUAGCCACAGUCUUGCAGAAAGAGUACGGUUUCUUAAGCCCUCUUGGAAGUUGAAUAGAGAAGCAUUCUCUGAUUACUUGUUUGUGGUUUUAGGUGAGGAGAGAAAAGAUCAGUGAAAGGAUGAAGUUUCUUCAAGAUCUUGUUCCGGGCUGCAACAAGGUAAGAGUCUUUUAUACAUGCUGAUGUGUAAGAAGUGAAGCAAAGCUAAUGCAGAAAAACUGAAGUGGUGUUUUGAGUUUCCAGGUGACUGGAAAGGCAGUUAUGCUUGACGAAAUCAUUAACUAUGUGCAAUCUCUGCAACGCCAAGUUGAGGUAUGAAGUUUCAUCAUUGUCAGCUAUGUCCUCUUUUGUGUUGCUUCUUGUGAUAAUCAAUUUGCUUCUCUGUAUUGUUUAAAACAGUUCUUAUCGAUGAAACUAGCAACUGUGAACCCACAAAUGGACUUUAACCUUGAAGGUCUUCUUGCCAAAGAUGUAAAGAGAUCUUAUGAAUUCUCCUUAUCAUUUAUACUCAUCAUAAGAUUCUUCUGAUAAAACCGAAUCCUAUACACACAGGCACUUCAACUACGAGCUGGUACGUCAUCUGCAACACCGUUUCCUCCAAAUAUGCCAAUGGUUUAUCCUCCUCUACCACAUGGAUUCAUGCAACAGACCCUUUCAUGCAUGGGAAGGACCGUUAGCUCUCCAUUGUCUCCCCCAAUAAAUGGUGGAUACAAGCGACAGGUAUUGUAUAACAGGGUCUGAAAUCUGUAGAAAUGAGCUCAUAAUCUGAUUCUGUUUUUGUAAUAAUAGGAAGCAAAUGGAUGGGAAGGUGAUCUUCAAAAUGUGAUACAGAUUAACUAUGGAGCUGGUGAUGUCCCACCCGACUCUCAAGCAGCAGCUACAGGUGAAAACUGAAACCUCUUUGUUACUUUCUUUACAAACCUUGAGGAGAAUUGUUUUGCUAAAACUGUCUGUUUUUGGUUUACAGAUGCAUCUCUUCCAUCUUCAAACAUGAAGGUUGAGCCAUGAGAUUUUCUUUCUGUUAGAUAGAAUGUUAUAUUCUUGUAAUCUUUCUUUUAAAUUUACUGUGUACUAUAUGAUGUAUUAACGAGUACUACUAGUCUACUACUGCUACUAAUAAGCAUUUAAGAUUAGGUAAAACGAUUAUAAUCUGUGAGCUGGAAAUGAUUAGAAAUAUAGUACCUUUUUGUAAGAGAAGUUAUGUUGGUAUCCUGUCCUCUGUUUGUCAUAAAACAUAAAACUGACAGCUGCAUCUUCCCAUCAAAGAUAUAGACAAUACAUGCGACCUAUCUAGAUUUGAUCUUGAGAAAGGAAAAUUCAGAUUGAGAGCUAGUUUCCGUUGUUAAACUGUUGUAGUAUUUUAAUCCUUGGUGGGUCACUCACUAUAUAUGUUAAGUUGAGUGGCCGGAGAGAAGAUCUUUAAGAUGACGUUAACAUAAAAGCCAGGGCCGUCUCAAUUAAUUUUCGGACCCUGUUCAAAAAUAUUAGCUGUAUAAUUAAUAAUGUAAUGAAAUAGUUUUAUAUAUAUAUAUGUAUAUUUACUGUUUUUUUAAACAUUAUAUGCUCUAAAUUUAGAUUUAUAUAUUUUUUAAAAAUUUUAGACGGUAAUUUAUAUAAUAUUUUUAAAAAAUUAUUAAUUAUUUUUUGUUUUUUUGAUUUGGAGAUUGUUCCAAUUGAACGUGCUAUUAGACGGCCUGAUAAAAGCACAAUAAUGUAACGUGCCAUUUUUCCCUUGGUUCAUGCAGUAGUAUAACUGAGGAAACUAUUAGAAAACUUAAGUGAAGAAGACCCUAUCCACGUUCCCAUCAUCAAUCUAUCUUCUUCAAGUGAGAGAGCCAUUGAUCUCUGUUCAUUACCACAGACAUCUCACCAACCACAGACCACCACAAUAAGUAUCGUCUUAAACAAAGGACUUAAAGAACAGUCGAAAAGUCUUCAAUGUUAAAGCCAAGAACCGGUAAAGAACCCUAAAACUUUCUUGCUGGUAGGAGGGAAAAUGUAUUGAAAGUAGUUACAAUCCUAUAACUGAACAGUAUCCCCACCCAACUCGACUCUAUAGGGCAUCUACAUUGGUGAAUUCCAAGGGGAGUUCACCCGGAUUUCGAGAAAAAAAAAUAUUAAAAUAAUAAAAAUCAGUGAACCUGUCCAAGGGGAGUUCACUCCAGUGAACCCGGAUCGUCACUGUAGCGCGAGCCCCACGACACGUGACGGCCCGCGAUUGGUCCUAUUAAUAAUUUUUUUUUUUGUCUAAAACAAAAAUUAAACAAAAAAAAAUAAUAAUAAAAAAAUGUUUUGUGAACUACUUACUCUGCGCGGUUGCGCGGAUCAAAAUCUAGUUACGUAUUAAACUUAAACCUUACAGAUUUAACCCAAAAAAAUCAACUAAUAUUUGAAACUAAAACCUUUUCACACAAAAAUUAAAAGAAAAACCUGCAAAUGAUAAUGCUUGGCUAUGAGUUUACAAAAAAAAAAAAAAAAAAAGAACUAUGGCGGUGUUUAUGUUAAAUGAUGAUCAAAAAGCUCUUAUUUUUAUGCAAGCGUGGGAUAUAAAUCCACAUCCUUUUCUAGAUUUUUAUUUUCCUUCUCUUUUCCCCUUUCUUCUAAAAAGCCACUCAUCUGCUCUCUCUCUCUCUCUGUGCAGCUGAAGAACAGAGAAAAAGGGUUUUGUCAUCUGACCAAAGGACCCAUUUCAAUAAAGUUUUCUUUGGCGAGAAACUGAGGAAAAAGUUUGAAGCUUUGAACAGAAAGUGGCACAGAUUCUGCGAAAUGGGUAUCUUUUCUCCCGUCUCUUUUUAACUUCAUUACCUCCUUAAAUCUGGUCUAGGUUUUUUUUUUUUAUCAAAGCUCUGUUUUUUUUUCUUCUUCUAGGGUUUCGUACAGAACAAAUCAUGAUCUUUUAAUGAAUCUUUGUUUUUGUUCUUCCGUUAUAUGAAAUCAAUUCAAUUGGUUCUCUCUUACAGGUGGAUUGUGCAUCUCUAAAGACCAAUGUGGUUGUGUUUGUGUGGGAACUUCUUUUGUUUUGUAGCUGUCUGAACUUGAUCCUGGAGUUGGGUUUUGGUUUAGUAUCUGUUCAACAAGUUUAGGAGAGAGAUGGAUGUAAGUGAGAAAGAUGAGUUGAGGAAUGGUAAUGAUACAACUGUGAACUAUGUUGAGUCUGCUAAUAAUCCACCUCCAGAUUGGAGAGUCUCUGGUUCUAAUCCGGUCUCUGAUUCAUAUCCUACAGAGAAUCUGAUCUCCUCUUCUCAGAUGAUGGAGACUCUUUGGUAUGAUCCAGCAAACGUUCAAGCUGUGGG
RNAcentral lists this long non-coding RNA (4322 nucleotides) under Brassica napus (rape). RNAcentral describes it as "long non-coding RNA (BNAP_LNC019157)". The record is from RNAcentral. Lineage: Eukaryota; Viridiplantae; Streptophyta; Magnoliopsida; Brassicales; Brassicaceae.